Small nuclear RNA from Pocillopora verrucosa, 123 nucleotides. RefSeq annotates it as U5 spliceosomal RNA. The record is from RefSeq and is a predicted model, not a curated record. NCBI's taxonomy places the organism in Eukaryota, Metazoa, Cnidaria, Anthozoa, Scleractinia, Pocilloporidae.
CGCUCUGGAUUCUCCUUCAAAUUACGCAUUAAUCUUUCGCCUUUUACUAAAGAUUACCGUGGAGGAGAACAACCGAAGGAUUCUUACAACCAAUUUUUCGUCGCCCCGCCUUCUGGCGGGGCU